Pelobates cultripes (western spadefoot toad) is the source of this 222-nucleotide non-coding RNA. Lineage: Eukaryota; Metazoa; Chordata; Amphibia; Anura; Pelobatidae. The record is from the annotation of a GenBank genome assembly.
CAAUGACGUCACUAAUGACUGGAAGUAUUUCUACGUUGUUUCGUUAACGUUACCCAGGAUGAUUGGUUUGACCUCUUGCCCUGGGCAGAAUUUGCUCGGAACAAAGCUACGCAUGACUCUUCCAAACUUAGUCCUUUUUAUGUUGUAUAUGGUCUCCACCCUGCUGUCUUACCUUCUGUGUUCUCUGAUACAGAUAUCCUCACUCUGGAUGAGCAUCUGACC